Molecule: ribosomal RNA, 1343 nt
Filed under: uncultured bacterium
Lineage: Bacteria
Description: 16S ribosomal RNA
Rfam family: Bacterial small subunit ribosomal RNA
Source: RNAcentral
GACGAACGCUGGCGGCGUGCUUAACACAUGCAAGUCGAACGGAAAGGCCCUGCUUUUGUGGGGUGCUCGAGUGGCGAACGGGUGAGUAACACGUGAGUAACCUGCCCUUGACUUUGGGAUAACUUCAGGAAACUGGGGCUAAUACCGGAUAGGAGCUCCUGCUGCAUGGUGGGGGUUGGAAAGUUUCGGCGGUUGGGGAUGGACUCGCGGCUUAUCAGCUUGUUGGUGGGGUAGUGGCUUACCAAGGCUUUGACGGGUAGCCGGCCUGAGAGGGUGACCGGCCACAUUGGGACUGAGAUACGGCCCAGACUCCUACGGGAGGCAGCAGUGGGGAAUAUUGCACAAUGGGCGGAAGCCUGAUGCAGCAACGCCGCGUGCGGGAUGACGGCCUUCGGGUUGUAAACCGCUUUCGCCUGUGACGAAGCGUGAGUGACGGUAAUGGGUAAAGAAGCACCGGCUAACUACGUGCCAGCAGCCGCGGUGAUACGUAGGGUGCGAGCGUUGUCCGGAUUUAUUGGGCGUAAAGGGCUCGUAGGUGGUUGAUCGCGUCGGAAGUGUAAUCUUGGGGCUUAACCCUGAGCGUGCUUUCGAUACGGGUUGACUUGAGGAAGGUAGGGGAGAAUGGAAUUCCUGGUGGAGCGGUGGAAUGCGCAGAUAUCAGGAGGAACACCAGUGGCGAAGGCGGUUCUCUGGGCCUUUCCUGACGCUGAGGAGCGAAAGCGUGGGGAGCGAACAGGCUUAGAUACCCUGGUAGUCCACGCUGUAAACGGUGGGUACUAGGUGUGGGGUCCAUUCCACGGGUUCCGUGCCGUAGCUAACGCUUUAAGUACCCCGCCUGGGGAGUACGGCCGCAAGGCUAAAACUCAAAGGAAUUGACGGGGCCCCGCACAAGCGGCGGAGCAUGCGGAUUAAUUCGAUGCAACGCGUAGAACCUUACCUGGGUUUGACAUGGAUCGGGAGUGCUCAGAGAUGGGUGUGCCUCUUUUGGGGUCGGUUCACAGGUGGUGCAUGGCUGUCGUCAGCUCGUGUCGUGAGAUGUUGGGUUAAGCCCCGCAACGAGCGCAACCCUUGUUCACUGUUGCCAGCACGUUAUGGUGGGGACUCAGUGGAGACCGCCGGGGUCAACUCGGAGGAAGGUGGGGAUGACGUCAAGUCAUCAUGCCCCUUAUGUCCAGGGCUUCACGCAUGCUACAAUGGCUGGUACAGAGAGUGGCGAGCCUGUGAGGGUGAGCGAAUCUCGGAAAGCCGGUCUCAGUUCGGAUUGGGGUCUGCAACUCGACCUCAUGAAGUCGGAGUCGCUAGCAAUCGCAGAUCAGCAACGCUGCGGUGAAUACGUUCCCGGG